RNAcentral lists this ribosomal RNA (141 nucleotides) under Bacillus sp. UM-MS1. Its description in RNAcentral is "partial 16S rRNA". The record is from RNAcentral. Lineage: Bacteria; Bacillati; Bacillota; Bacilli; Caryophanales; Bacillaceae.
UGCGGCGCACUCACUACUUCCGAAAGCCCAGCAUUUUGAGACAACAAUCCCUUCUUGUUCACGAUCAACUUAUUCGACCGUGGAACUGCCAUGGAUUGGUCUUUCGGUGCCGAUUGAUGCACGGUCGUCGGCGCCAUUAUG